UUCCUGGUGGUCUAGUGGUUAGGAUCCAGGGCUUUCACUGCUGCAUCCCAGGUUCAAUCCCUGGUCUGGGAA
Molecule: non-coding RNA, 72 nt
Organism: Sus scrofa (pig)
Lineage: Eukaryota; Metazoa; Chordata; Mammalia; Artiodactyla; Suidae
Source: Rfam